GCCCCUUCUCUCCUGUACAAAACAUGAAUAAACGAACUCUGUUCUUAUCAGCUUAAUAUCUGAUACGGGUCCUACUAGGGCCGAAGAUAUGAAACUUAUUUUUCGAAUGGGACGGAGUGCUUGAAGGUUGCUUCACCUCCGCCGUGGGUUGGCGCGGUAUUGCACUAUCUCCAGGAUCGGCCCACUCACC
This is a small nuclear RNA of Rhipicephalus sanguineus (brown dog tick), 190 nucleotides long. RefSeq annotates it as U2 spliceosomal RNA. NCBI's taxonomy places the organism in Eukaryota, Metazoa, Arthropoda, Arachnida, Ixodida, Ixodidae. The transcript has a single exon. The record is from RefSeq and is a predicted model, not a curated record.